This 103-nucleotide small nuclear RNA is filed under the name Ochotona princeps (American pika). Lineage: Eukaryota; Metazoa; Chordata; Mammalia; Lagomorpha; Ochotonidae. The record is from RNAcentral.
GUGCUCGCUUCGGCAGCACGUAUACUAAAACUGGAAUGAUACAGAGAUUAGCAUGCCCCUGCGCAAGGAUGACAUGCAAAUCUGUGAAGUGUUCCAGGUUUUU